GAUGAACGCUGGCGGCGUGCCUAAUACAUGCAAGUCGAGCGAACGGACGAGAAGCUUGCUUCUCUGAUGUUAGCGGCGGACGGGUGAGUAACACGUGGAUAACCUACCUAUAAGACUGGGAUAACUUCGGGAAACCGGAGCUAAUACCGGAUGAUAUUUUGAACCGCAUGGUUCAAAAGUGAAAGACGGUCUUGCUGUCACUUAUAGAUGGAUCCGCGCUGCAUUAGCUAGUUGGUAAGGUAACGGCUUACCAAGGCAACGAUGCAUAGCCGACCUGAGAGGGUGAUCGGCCACACUGGAACUGAGACACGGUCCAGACUCCUACGGGAGGCAGCAGUAGGGAAUCUUCCGCAAUGGGCGAAAGCCUGACGGAGCAACGCCGCGUGAGUGAAGAAGGUCUUCGGAUCGUAAAACUCUGUUAUUAGGGAAGAACAUAUGUGUAAGUAACUGUGCACAUCUUGACGGUACCUAAUCAGAAAGCCACGGCUAACUACGUG
Molecule: ribosomal RNA, 497 nt
Filed under: uncultured bacterium
Lineage: Bacteria
Description: partial 16S ribosomal RNA
Rfam family: Bacterial small subunit ribosomal RNA
Source: RNAcentral